GGGGGGGGGGGGGGGGGGGGGUGGGGGGGGCAGGGGGGGGGGGGGGGGGGGGGGGGGAGCCGGCGGGGGGAAGGUGGGGGGGGUGAGCGGGGGACGGGGGAGUAACACGGGGGUGACGGGCCUUUGACGCAGGGAGAGCCUCAGGAAACCGGGAGUGAGAACUGAGGAAGCUAUCAAAGCACCUGAUUAAGAAAGUUGAAACUCGGGUGGUAAAAGAUGGACUCGCGUCCCAUUAGCUAGUUGGUGAAGGUAACGGCACACCAAGGCCACGAUGGGUGGCCGACCUGAGAGGGUGCACGGCCACAUUGGAACUGAGACACGGUCCACACUCCUACGGGAGGCAGCAGUGGGGAGUAUUGCACACGGGGGGAAACCGUAAUGAAGCGACGCCGCGUGAGCGAAGAAGGCCUUCGGGUCGUAAAGCUCUUUUAUAUGGGAAGUUAAUGACGGUACCAUAAGAAAAAGCCCCGGCUAACUACGUG
This 482-nucleotide ribosomal RNA is filed under the name uncultured bacterium. Its description in RNAcentral is "partial 16S ribosomal RNA". The stretch from base 59 to 482 matches the Rfam family "Bacterial small subunit ribosomal RNA", at positions 35 to 507 of the family's 1533-position model. The record is from RNAcentral.